RNA transcript from Gossypium raimondii (Peruvian cotton), 3069 nucleotides. It is a transcript of the gene named calcium-dependent protein kinase 20, with no coding region annotated. NCBI's taxonomy places the organism in Eukaryota, Viridiplantae, Streptophyta, Magnoliopsida, Malvales, Malvaceae. The transcript is spliced from 10 exons. The record is from RefSeq and is a predicted model, not a curated record.
CAAUGCAUGCAAUGAAACUGUAACCCAAUUCAUGGAAAAUGGAAAACACCCUUUUCUUUUAUGUUAAUUCUAAUAAUAAUUUUUUUGAUGUAAUUAUGAAAUUUUAGCAAUCAUUUUUUUUUCUGUUUCUUCACCAAAUAACUUGGAUGUGGAACUCUCCUGCAUAUUCUUUGAAAAGAGACGAAAUUCAAAGCAAAUUGAUCUCUUUGUAAACUUCUCAUAGCUUCCAUUACCUAUUUUCUUCAUCUUCCCGGAAAUAAUUUUUCCCAAUAUCUGUCUAAAUUUCGUUUUUGGGAUUUUUUUAGAUUUGGAACAAAUCCUAGAGCUUUGCUUCCCCCAUCGAAUUGAUGAAAUAAUUCAGGAUUCCUGAUCUAUUAGUUUGGAUUGGUGGUGGAUUUUCCUAGAAGAGGCUGUUUGGACCAGAAAAAGGGCUGGACUUGGGGGUCUGUUCUAGGCCUUUGAUCUCUUCUCACAGAUUGAAUUCUUUCGAUUUUUGUUUGCUCUUUAAUGGAAUUAUCAAGGACCCAUGUUGAUGUUGGAAUUGAGAAGAGAGAGUUGAUGAUUAUAAUGAGGACCUGAGAAUUUGGGAAAUUUUGAUGGGGAACGCAUGCGCUGGGCCAAGUAAUCUUGGUGGGAAUGGAUUCUUCCAAUCUGUCACACAGGCGGUUUGGCGGCAAAGGCCGCCUAAUCAGGACCAAUUGCCGGCGGCUAAUGAAGAUAACAGCAACAAAGGUUCCGACGAAUCUAAUAAAUCCAAAGGCUCGGAUGAUUGUCAAGAUUCCGCCGCAACUGAGAACAUUGCCCCUGAACCCGUCAAGAUCCCCAAUGCGGAGCCCAUGAAUAAGGAAGGGAACAAUGCCAAUAAGGCUUCGGGUCAAAAGCCAAAUAAUUUGAAGAGGUUGACAAGCACGGAACUGGAGUCAGUGCUUGGAAGGAAAACCGGGAAUAUGAAGGAGCUAUAUAGCUUGGGGCGUAAGUUAGGUCAAGGACAAUUCGGAACAACGUUUUUCUGUGUUGAAAAAAGCACUGGGAAAGAGUUCGCCUGCAAAUCCAUUGCCAAGAGGAAGCUGACCUCAACUGAUGAUUUGGAGGAUGUUAGAAGGGAGGUUCAUAUAAUGCACCAUCUCGCAGGUCACCCUAAUGUGAUACAAAUCAUAGGUGCUUACGAAGAUGCUGUGGCUAUUUAUCUUGUUAUGGAGUUUUGUGCUGGUGGGGAGCUUUUUGAUAGAAUCAUUCAGAGAGGGCAUUAUACCGAGAGAAAGGCAGCUGCACUUGCUAGGGUAAUGGUUGGUGUUGUUCAAGCAUGUCAUUCUCUUGGUGUUAUGCAUCGUGACCUCAAGCCCGAAAAUUUCCUGUUCAUUAACAAGGAUGAGGACGCCCCACUUAAAGCAAUUGAUUUUGGGCUUUCAAUGUUCUUUAAGCCAGGUGAAAUAUUCAAUGAUGUGGUUGGAAGUCCGUAUUAUGUGGCUCCAGAAGUGUUGCAGAAGCACUAUGGUCCAGAAUGUGAUGUUUGGAGUGCUGGAGUGAUCAUUUAUAUUUUACUUUGUGGAGUUCCCCCAUUCUGGGAUGAAACGGAGCAAGGGAUAUUUGAGCAGGUUAUGAGAGGUGAACUCGACUUUACAUCAGAGCCAUGGCCUAGUAUCUCUAACAGUGCAAAGGACUUGGUACGACGAAUGCUUAUAAAGGACCCUAAAAAGCGGUUGACAGCCCAUGAAGUUCUUUGGUCCUUGGAGGGACAUAUCUCCUAUGUCCUGAAAUGCAUUGGACACAGGGUGCUGUACCCAGGUCACCCUUGGGUUCAGGAGGAUGGCAUUGCUCCUGAUAAACCUCUUGAUUCAGCUGUCCUAUCGCGUUUGAAGCAAUUUUCUGCAAUGAAUAAGCUGAAGAAAAUUGCCAUCAGAGUCAUUGCUGAUAGCCUAUCAGAAGAGGAAAUUGCAGGCCUGAAAGAAAUGUUUAAGAUGAUAGAUGCAGAUAACAGUGGGAAUAUCACUCUUGAGGAACUGAAAAUUGGUUUGGAAAAAGUUGGUUCUAAGCUCAAGGAUUCUGAGAUUAAUGGGUUAAUGCAAGCGGCAGACAUUGAUAACAGUGGUACUAUAGACUAUAGCGAGUUCAUAGCGGCCAUGCUUCAUCUAAACAAGAUCCAGAAAGAGGAUCAUCUGUUUGCAGCUUUCAACUACUUUGACAAAGAUGGAAGUGGCUACAUUACUCCAGAUGAGCUCCAAAAGGCCUGUGAGCAGUUUGGCUUGCAAGAUGUUCACUUGGAAGAUGUAAUACGUGAAGUUGACCAGGAUAACGAUGGACGUAUUGACUAUAGUGAGUUUGUAGCUAUGAUGCAAGACACAGGUUUAACCGGAAAGCACAAAACAUUUAAGCAUUGAUACAUCAUCUUGCUACGGUUAAGUCAUUCAUUCAUCAGUCCAUUCGUUUGCCCUCGUCUGAAAAAGAAAAAGAUAAAAAAAAAAAAGGAGGAAUACACGGGACUUGGUAGCCAUGUUCAACACAAAUUGUUUAGCAGCUCUGUUUAGAACUGUAUCACGCUCGAUGCUGUGUCCCGUAGUGAUCUUGCUGGCCUCUAAGGUCGACUCAAUCAUAGGGUACUUCCAUCUUGCUACCAUAUCUCGCCUACUAGCAAGGCCAGCAUAUCUAGAUUCUCAGAAGGUUAUGCAGAAAAAAUGCCAUAUAACAUUUUGCUGGCGAAGAUUGGCUUGUUGACAAGGAGCGCCCCCAUGGCAGAGAGGUCAAAGCUUAUAGGAACCCAUAUUAUUUGGACCGAAGUUAAUGGCGUGGUUCGUAGGUUUCCCUCUGCUUUGAAGAGUUGUUUCUAUAAUGUUCUUAAAUAUUUUUGUUGCAGAAAAACGGACCACUUGGUUCAAUUUUACUCGUCCUUGAUUGGACCAUUGCAGAAACAACCGAACUCAUUGGUUAUUUCAACCCUUUUUACCAUCAGCAACAACUUACGUCUUCUUGUUUUCACAUCUAACAAAUCUCAGAUAUUUAUUUGCUCUCAAAUUACAAUUUAUCAUUAUUAAUCAUUUGAUGGUAAAAGUACCUUGAAAAUCUCUUUACUAA